This 498-nucleotide ribosomal RNA is filed under the name uncultured bacterium. Its description in RNAcentral is "partial 16S ribosomal RNA". It matches the Rfam family "Bacterial small subunit ribosomal RNA", at positions 30 to 523 of the family's 1533-position model. The record is from RNAcentral.
AUUGAACGCUGGCGGCAUGCCUUACACAUGCAAGUCGAACGGUAACAGGUCUUCGGAUGCUGACGAGUGGCGAACGGGUGAGUAAUACAUCGGAACGUGCCUAGUAGUGGGGGAUAACUACUCGAAAGAGUGGCUAAUACCGCAUGAGAUCUACGGAUGAAAGCAGGGGAUCGCAAGACCUUGUGCUACUAGAGCGGCCGAUGGGAGAUUAGGUAGUUGGUGGGAUAAAAGCUUACCAAGCCGACGAUCUGUAGCUGGUCUGAGAGGACGAUCAGCCACACUGGGACUGGGACACGGCCCAGACUCCUACGGGAGGCAGCAGUGGGGAAUUUUGGACAAUGGGCGCAAGCCUGAUCCAGCAAUGCCGCGUGCAGGAUGAAGGCCUUCGGGUUGUAAACUGCUUUUGUACGGAACGAAAAGCUCUGGGUUAAUACCCUGGGGUCAUGACGGUACCGUAAGAAUAAGCACCGGCUAACUACGUGCCAGCCGCCGCCGUAA